GGGGAUGUACUACACUGACUGCAGUUCAUUAGGAAAUUGAGGACAGGAGCACAACUUGGAUGGAAACAAGGAUUAACAGUGAUGGAGCUGCAGUCCCUUGCGCCUGAGAGAAUAUCAACGCAACACAACUCCAUUUAAAGUUAAGCCUCACAGACUUUCACAGGUGCAGAGCCUUCUGUUUACAAGGCAGUGAAGAUAACAUAGUUGCAAACUCACAUGGGAUACGGCUGUCUGUCCGGCAUUAACUGAGAGGACUCCCAAGGGGGAAAGGAAAGGUGACCACCCGGAAUUACUUGACUUGACACAAAUGGAGUCAGGUUGGCUAUCACAAC
This 332-nucleotide long non-coding RNA is filed under the name Heterocephalus glaber (naked mole-rat). Its description in RNAcentral is "lncRNA (ENSHGLG00100048682.1)". Lineage: Eukaryota; Metazoa; Chordata; Mammalia; Rodentia; Bathyergidae. The record is from RNAcentral.